Molecule: ribosomal RNA, 1321 nt
Filed under: Salmonella enterica subsp. enterica serovar Enteritidis
Lineage: Bacteria; Pseudomonadati; Pseudomonadota; Gammaproteobacteria; Enterobacterales; Enterobacteriaceae
Description: partial 23S ribosomal RNA
Rfam family: Bacterial large subunit ribosomal RNA
Source: RNAcentral
CACUGAGGCGUGACGACGAGGCACUACGGUGCUGAAGCAACAAAUGCCCUGCUUCCAGGAAAAGCCUCUAAGCAUCAGGUAACAUCAAAUCGUACCCCAAACCGACACAGGUGGUCAGGUAGAGAAUACCAAGGCGCUUGAGAGAACUCGGGUGAAGGAACUAGGCAAAAUGGUGCCGUAACUUCGGGAGAAGGCACGCUGACACGUAGGUGAAGUGAUUUACUCAUGGAGCUGAAGUCAGUCGAAGAUACCAGCUGGCUGCAACUGUUUAUUAAAAACACAGCACUGUGCAAACACGAAAGUGGACGUAUACGGUGUGACGCCUGCCCGGUGCCGGAAGGUUAAUUGAUGGGGUCAGCGCAAGCGAAGCUCCUGAUCGAAGCCCCGGUAAACGGCGGCCGUAACUAUAACGGUCCUAAGGUAGCGAAAUUCCUUGUCGGGUAAGUUCCGACCUGCACGAAUGGCGUAAUGAUGGCCAGGCUGUCUCCACCCGAGACUCAGUGAAAUUGAACUCGCUGUGAAGAUGCAGUGUACCCGCGGCAAGACGGAAAGACCCCGUGAACCUUUACUAUAGCUUGACACUGAACAUUGAGCCUUGAUGUGUAGGAUAGGUGGGAGGCUUUGAAGUGUGGACGCCAGUCUGCAUGGAGCCGACCUUGAAAUACCACCCUUUAAUGUUUGAUGUUCUAACGUGGACCCGUUACCCGGGUUGCGGACAGUGUCUGGUGGGUAGUUUGACUGGGGCGGUCUCCUCCUAAAGAGUAACGGAGGAGCACGAAGGUUGGCUAAUCCUGGUCGGACAUCAGGAGGUUAGUGCAAUGGCAUAAGCCAGCUUGACUGCGAGCGUGACGGCGCGAGCAGGUGCGAAAGCAGGUCAUAGUGAUCCGGUGGUUCUGAAUGGAAGGGCCAUCGCUCAACGGAUAAAAGGUACUCCGGGGAUAACAGGCUGAUACCGCCCAAGAGUUCAUAUCGACGGCGGUGUUUGGCACCUCGAUGUCGGCUCAUCACAUCCUGGGGCUGAAGUAGGUCCCAAGGGUAUGGCUGUUCGCCAUUUAAAGUGGUACGCGAGCUGGGUUUAGAACGUCGUGAGACAGUUCGGUCCCUAUCUGCCGUGGGCGCUGGAGAACUGAGGGGGGCUGCUCCUAGUACGAGAGGACCGGAGUGGACGCAUCACUGGUGUUCGGGUUGUCAUGCCAAUGGCACUGCCCGGUAGCUAAAUGCGGAAGAGAUAAGUGCUGAAAGCAUCUAAGCACGAAACUUGCCCCGAGAUGAGUUCUCCCUGAGACUUAGAGUCUCCUGAAGGAACGUUGAAGACGACGAC